RNAcentral lists this ribosomal RNA (155 nucleotides) under Caldanaerobacter subterraneus. The record is from RNAcentral. Lineage: Bacteria; Bacillati; Bacillota; Clostridia; Thermoanaerobacterales; Thermoanaerobacteraceae.
GAGGACUUGACCCUGAAGGCUUUGUGUAGUUUUGAAGGUCUAAGUAUCCGGUGGCGAUAGCGGAGGGGAAACACCCGUUCCCAUUCCGAACACGGAAGUUAAGCCCUCCAGCGCCGAUGGUACUGCAUAAGCGGGAGAGUAGGUCGCUGCCGGAA